UUUCGUUCAUUAUUCAUUCACUGUUAAGAUGAUGAAUGUUUAUUUUGGGAUUUAACAAGAAGAAAGACCUUACCUAAAAAGAAAAUGAAGAGUCUUCCAUAGAUAAGUAGUGUGAUCUUUUGGAGCAAAACCCUGGGGCUCUGGAUUGGGGCUCCAACAGUCUCUGAGACACAGAAUACACGGUGGGAUCAAUACAAAUUUAGGACCUCUGUCUCUCCACCUGAAAAAUACAAAUAAUAAUGAAUGACAAUGGUUUCCACCAAGUAACUGCUGAGUAAUUAAAAAUUCAUGCCAAUUAAAAACUACAGGAAGAACAAAAAGUAAAAUACACAUACAAUGCAUAGCACAGAAUGCCUUGUAAUCACACAUAUAUACCUUUGCAAUAUACUUGAAAUUAGAGGUUUUAACUUCUAAUUUUCCAUAAAACAUUAGUUGCACACUACAAAGGAAGGUAAACAUGUGAAGCUAGAUCAACCAUGAAAAUAAGAGCAAGUUUAUUUGAUUGGGGGAGAAGGAAAUUAGGAGAGGCCAACUGAGAAUCAGAGAGGCUGAAUGAAAGGCUGAACCAUCUCUGAUUUGCCUCUCUGCUCCCUUGGUUGGGGAGGGAUGGUCAGGCAUGAUUGCUGUAUCCUAUUAAGAGCCUACUAUCCAAAGAUGCUUGGCUUCUAUUAGUCCUGCUGUGCUCAGUGGGAAAUAACCAUGGGACUGUGGUAAAGUGUGGGGUAGUGGUGGCAGAGGGGAGUGGGGGGAGUAUUCCACCAAAGAACAUGAAUUACCCUACAUACAGGUUUUGAAAUCAUGGACAAGGCCAAGGGGCAUCUUAUCUGUGAAGGACUAGUUCAGUUUCACUGAGGAGCCCCAGAAAAUGAAACUUGACAUUGCAAUCUUCCUCUGCAGUCAGUAGAUUCCUAUGCUUCCAGGAGCUGCAGUGAGGUUAGUUGAUGUCUGUGAAAGGAGUGCACACGGGGUAGUACAACCCUAUAGAAAAUCUCCUCAAAUGGAAAUCUGCUCAUAUCAACCCUUGUUAAGAUCCAGAGAAACACAUUUCUAAGUGGAAAGAAAAUCAUGGAUGAAACUAUGAGAAAAAGUCAUUGGCUACAAUUAAAAUGUGUCACAAACACAUUGAGUGUUGACACUAAAAUAGCUUUGUUAUUAAAAUUUGAACUAUGCCACAAUUAAAAUGUAUCACAAACAUCAUUAAGUUUUGACCCUGAAAUAGCUGUGUUAUUAAAAUUUUAAAAAUAUUGGUUAUGUCUAUACCAUUUAGAUUAUUUCUUGUGUUGAGUUCAAGUAGAUAGAUAUGCUAAUAGAAUGGAGAAUAGUUUUCCAAUUCUACUGAUCUACAUUCCAGAUUCUAAUACUGACUCUACUUCCACUUUAUCAUGAGACCUUAUGGACAUUCUUACUUUGUCUGGGUUCUUCUUUUUAAUACUUGUUCCACUUUCCAUUAGCCACUGAAUGGCAAAAACACUGAAAUGCUGAGAAUUGAAAAUCACUAUGCAACUAUCUUUAAUAAGGAAUCCUAUUAAGCCCAGUAGUAUCACUUUUAAUCCUGAUAACAAAACAACUGAGAAAGGCAGAACGAUUCCCUAUUAUUCA
RNAcentral lists this long non-coding RNA (1599 nucleotides) under Canis lupus familiaris (dog). Its description in RNAcentral is "lncRNA (ENSCAFG00000054913.1, ENSCAFG00845006519.1)". Lineage: Eukaryota; Metazoa; Chordata; Mammalia; Carnivora; Canidae. The record is from RNAcentral.